Molecule: long non-coding RNA, 1854 nt
Organism: Bos indicus x Bos taurus (hybrid cattle)
Lineage: Eukaryota; Metazoa; Chordata; Mammalia; Artiodactyla; Bovidae
Source: Ensembl
CGAUUUCCUUUUCUGGAACAGGCGGGCAAGCCUGGUGUUAAAAGAUGUAGAAUCAGACCUCAGAGAGUUGUGGGUGGGUGAACUCGGUAACUGACGUGGGGAGAUGCUCUGAGCACUGGAAGGCUCCCCCCGGGAGUCUCAAUUCUGUCCUGCUCCUCUAACAACCUAGCAUCUCGGGUCCACCUUUCUCAACUGAGAGGUCCUCAGUGUUUCCUGGAGAAAUGCCCCCGCCCCCCAGCUGAGUCCAGGCUCUCCACCCACUGGCUGUGGUCUAGCUGGAUUCCAUGCCCACUUUAACCUCCUUGCCCUUUGGCCCACUCUUCUUGCAUCUACACCUCUUUCCGCUGGAAGCUCCUCCUCGGUCCCCUGCUCUAUUAGCGACACUGUUUUUGGUGUGCGGUUCUCCAAGUGUGGUCCAGCGAGCAGCAGCAACAUCUGGGAUCUUGGUAGAAAUGCAGAACCUCAGGUCCCACCUGAGACCUUCUAAAGCAGACGCUCUGAGGACAAGGGACCCAUAAACCUACCUUUGAACAGGCCCUCCCCAGGGGGCAGGGUGAAGUUUCAGAACCUCUGAGAAAAUGUGUCUGCCCAGCUGGACUGUGAGCUCCCUGCUGGCCAGGGCUGAGUCUCAUUUGGUGGCUCCCAGAGCUCCUCCCAGAGGCCAUGAGGGACCGGGAAACAGCCUCCUGGAAUGCCGUGAGCUGAUGCUUCCCAGACUCUUCUCCCAAGCCCUGGAUGGAAGCCAGCCUCCUGGAGCAGGUCUGCCUGGGUGUGAAGCCCCAAUCUGCUGCCUGGGACACAGACCAGGAAGCCCUCCCCACCAAUACCUUCAGCUCCCAACCAGCCGCCCUUGAUCAGGGAUGCUAGAGAUGCUAGAGCUGGAAGGGCUCUGGGAAAUCAUCCUAUCCACCUCUGCAGCUACAGCGGGGGAUACUGGAGCAUGGAAGGAGGAGAUCAUGUGGAGGAUUGGGAGCAAGCACCCGACUCCCACACAGAGCUGCCCCCCAUCUGAACAGGCCCAGAGGAGUGAAAGUCCGUAUUGAAGCAGGUGGGUGAUGUGGGAAGGAGGCAGCAGACACAGUCAGGAGGAAGACAGAAGGAGAAGGAGGGGAUUACAACUCUGAGUGACAGCCUGAGAUGGCCAGUCCCCACCCAUUCACCUCCAGGACUUUAGGAUGGAACCAGGCCCUGCUCUCCGUGGUCCCCUGAUGAACCCAACCUCCCAGGGCCUUCAGGACUCACCUUGAAUUAUCCAGGGCAGGAGGAGCCAUAUCACAGCCCUGUCCCUUGGGCAGGGAGAGGGGGAAUCCCAGGCACUCUGCCCAGUGAUGCGGGAUGGACUUUCCCUGUGAUGGGGGACGGACUUCAGCCUUAAAAAAGCCCAGGGUCACUUGGGGGUCUUAAAGCUUCAGGAUGACCUGGGGGAGAGGACUUCUGGGACCUCUGUAAUUUCAGCCAAUGACAACCUUCUCACAGGAGCAGAGAGGAGGGACAGCCAGCCACCCAGGAUUGCUACAGAGCCUGGUGGUUGUGGGGGGGUGGGGCAUCCCCUCCCUGUCCCCCACCCCUGAGACUUCGUCUCGUCUUCAGCAUCAUUUUCCAUCAGCAGCAGCAGCAGAGUGAACUCAGCUACUGAAAAUGUUGCUGGGCCAAGCAGCCUCCUGAUAGUGGACCCCCACUUCUGAUGCAAGCAUAGAGAAACACUGUACCCAAGCCUACAUGAUAUUUUAAAAAAGGUUUUAAAUGCAGAGCCAACCUUAAAGGAAAGGGAGAUGCCAGGGCCAGUCACAAAGAGACAACAUAGCCAGGGACACUGGUCAGUCAGGGCUGAUGUUUCAGCUGCCCAUGAGGUGA